This 409-nucleotide ribosomal RNA is filed under the name uncultured bacterium. Its description in RNAcentral is "bacterial SSU rRNA". It matches the Rfam family "Bacterial small subunit ribosomal RNA", at positions 82 to 507 of the family's 1533-position model. The record is from RNAcentral.
CUCCAUAAGGAUAGCGGCGGACGGGUGAGUAACGCGUGGGCAAUCUGCCUCCAGGACCGGGACAACAGUGCGAAAGCGCUGCUAAUACCGGAUAGGCACCAGACCUGAUGGGUCAGGUGGAAAGCCGCAAGGCGCCAGGAGAUGAGCCCGCGUCCCAUUAGCCAGUUGGCGGGGUAACGGCCCACCAAAGCGACGAUGGGUAGCCGGCCUGAGAGGGCGAACGGCCACACUGGGACUGAGACACGGCCCAGACUCCUACGGGAGGCAGCAGUGGGGAAUUUUCCACAAUGGGCGAAAGCCUGAUGGAGCAACGCCGCGUGGGCGAGGAAGGUCUUCGGAUUGUAAAGCCCUGUCCCGAGGGAAGAAGAAAGUGACGGUACCUCGGGAGGAAGCCCCGGCUAACUACGUG